RNAcentral lists this long non-coding RNA (307 nucleotides) under Mytilus galloprovincialis (Mediterranean mussel). The record is from RNAcentral. Lineage: Eukaryota; Metazoa; Mollusca; Bivalvia; Mytilida; Mytilidae.
GCAACAGUAGUAUACCGCUGUUCAAAACUCAUAAAUCCAGGGACAAAAAACAAAAUCGGGGUAACAAACUAAAACCGAGGGAAACGCAUUAAAUAUAAGAGAACAACGACAUAACACCGAAAUGUAACACACACAGAAACGGACCAAGCAUCAGACAAAACACCACGAGAAUAACAAAUAUAACAAGAAAACCAAAUACAUGAAUUUGGGAUAGACAAGUAUCGUGCCACGUUUGAUCUCAAUAUCUCAAAAAUAAGAGAAAACACAAACGACUCAACGUUAAAAUGCAACACACACAGAAACGAAC